This 546-nucleotide long non-coding RNA is filed under the name Homo sapiens (human). Its description in RNAcentral is "HSALNT0049631". The record is from RNAcentral. Lineage: Eukaryota; Metazoa; Chordata; Mammalia; Primates; Hominidae.
GUGUGUUUUAGAUAGGGUGUGUGUGAGACAGGGUGUGUGUGUUAGGUGGUGUGUGUGUGUUUUAGACAGGGUGUGUGUGUGUGAGACGGUGUAUGUGUUAGGGUGUGUGUUUAGACAGGGUGUGUGUGUCAGGGUGUGUUUUAGAGCGUGUGUGUUAGGGUAUGUGUGUGUUAGGGUGUGUGUUUUAGACAGUGUGUGUGUUUUAGACUGUAUUAAGAUAUGGGUGUGUGUUUUAGACAGAGUGUGUGUGUGUUAAGGUGUGUAUGUGUGUUUUAGACAGGGUGUGUGUGUUUUAGACAGUGUGUGUUGGGUGAGUGCAUGUGUGAGAUGGGGGUGUGUGUGUUUCAGACGGUGUGUAUGUGUGUUAGGGUGUGUGUGUGUUGGGUGAGUGCAUGUGUGAGAUGGGGGUGUGUGUGUUUCAGACGGUGUGUAUGUGUGUUAGGAUGUGUGUGUGAGAGUGAGUGCAAGUGUGUGAGACGGUGGUAUAUGUGUUUCAGACGGUGUGUAUGUGUGUUAGGAUGUGUGUGUUUGUUAGAGUGAGUGCAC